AACCUGGGGAAAUUGCACGCAUUUUAAAAGGUUAACACAGGUUUCCUCUCUUUCAUUAGAGUUCUUACUUUUAUCGAUGAUUCAAAAGACGUCAUACAAACAGCAGGGGAUAAAGAUGACCUUUUGGAUAAACAAACACAUCGUAUAUUCAUAAAUUGAUCUCAGAUACAACGCAACACUGCCUGUGAAUUCGAAGACAAGUACAGUUCUUUGAAGUUUGAUACUUUGUCCCGGUUUUUUCAGUAAAAUGGGAGCAGGAUUUACAAAAGAUGACGAAAAUGACAGAACUGGUGCUUUAUUUCAGGCAAUACGAAGAAAUCGAUUUCAGCUGGCUACAGAUCUCAUUUCAAAAGGUGCAGGGGUCAACUGUAUAAAUUAUUUCGGCAAUACACCACUGAUAGAAACAUGUCGAAGCCACAGGGCAUCAACCAGGACAGGGAAUGCUGUUGAAUCUGACCGAGAGCGUUUUGUCACCUUUCUAAUCAGCAAUGAUUGUGAUAAGACCAAGUAUGACAUAUAUGGAUGGACAGCUCUAAUGUAUGCCGAAAAGAAUGGUCAUGAUACCAUCAUCGAUAUUUUGGAGAAAAAAGAGCAGGAAAUGAGAACUGACGAUUCAUCCGAAAACAAUGUUGGCAACAAAAGCGAGUAAGCUGGCCAACUUUGAAGUACAGCAAUAACUGGAAUACGGAAAAAUAUCAAAUAUACUUAACAGAAAUACACUUUUAAAGGGUUAAAAUAACAUUUAUUUACAUCACACUUCAUAAUCAACUGCAUCCAUUUAGCAAUACAUGUGUAUCGAAUAGAAUAUUGUUUUACCAGUCUUUACCUAUCUCCACCAACCGACAGCAGCUUAUAUUAAGUUAAGAUAUGAUCCUUAUGGCGAUGUUAUUACAGGGGACCUCAACAUCGUUCAAGACCGAGAGGUUAUAAACUUUUCGAAAAGAGGACAAAGUUAUCGUCCUCCUUCCGUCAAAAAUAUGUUGUUUUUUUUUCAAUAAAGCAUAUGAAAAUAAAA
Molecule: long non-coding RNA, 1015 nt
Organism: Mytilus californianus (California mussel)
Lineage: Eukaryota; Metazoa; Mollusca; Bivalvia; Mytilida; Mytilidae
Exons: 2
Source: RefSeq, a predicted model, not a curated record